This 64-nucleotide transfer RNA is filed under the name chicken gut metagenome. It matches the Rfam family "tRNA", at positions 5 to 66 of the family's 71-position model. Rfam says of the family: Transfer RNA (tRNA) molecules are approximately 80 nucleotides in length. The record is from RNAcentral.
CAAUAGCUCAGCGGUAGAGCGCUCGGCUGUUAACCGAUAGGUCGUAGGUUCGAAUCCUACUUGA